RNAcentral lists this ribosomal RNA (607 nucleotides) under uncultured bacterium. RNAcentral's name for it is "bacterial SSU rRNA". It matches the Rfam family "Bacterial small subunit ribosomal RNA", at positions 240 to 847 of the family's 1533-position model. The record is from RNAcentral.
AUUAGUUAGUUGGCGGGGUAACGGCCCACCAAGACAACGAUGGAUAGGGGUUCUGAGAGGAAGGUCCCCCACAUUGGAACUGAGACACGGUCCAAACUCCUACGGGAGGCAGCAGUGAGGAAUAUUGGUCAAUGGACGAGAGUCUGAACCAGCCAAGUAGCGUGAAGGAUGACUGCCCUAUGGGUUGUAAACUUCUUUUAUAUGGGAAUAAAACGUUCCACGUGUGGGAUUUUGUAUGUACCAUAUGAAUAAGGAUCGGCUAACUCCGUGCCAGCAGCCGCGGUAAUACGGAGGAUCCGAGCGUUAUCCGGAUUUAUUGGGUUUAAAGGGAGCGUAGGUGGAUUGUUAAGUCAGUUGUGAAAGUUUGCGGCUCAACCGUAAAAUUGCAGUUGAAACUGGCAGUCUUGAGUACAGUAGAGGUGGGCGGAAUUCGUGGUGUAGCGGUGAAAUGCUUAGAUAUCACGAAGAACUCCGAUUGCGAAGGCAGUUCACUGGACUGCAACUGACACUGAGGCUCGAAAGUGUGGGUAUCAAACAGGAUUAGAUACCCUGGUAGUCCACACAGUAAACGAUGAAUACUCGCUGUUUGCGAUAUACAGCAAGCGGC